RNAcentral lists this long non-coding RNA (3625 nucleotides) under Marmota monax (woodchuck). Lineage: Eukaryota; Metazoa; Chordata; Mammalia; Rodentia; Sciuridae. The record is from RNAcentral.
AAUACUGGCACUUUUAAAAAGGGUAUAUAUGUGUGUAGUGUGUGCUUGUAUAAUUUUUCAAAGUAAUUUUCAAAGCAUAUAGUCACAUAUAAAGCUAUGUAUCUUAUAAAUACCUUAUAAAUAGACGAAUAUAUUUAAUAAGAAUAUUCAAAAUAUUUGAAUAAAAUUUAAUUAUUUUCUUAAUAAAAUGGAAGCUAUGAUUUAAAUUAAUGUGAACUAUAUUCCAUACAUAUAAGAAAAAUUGUCAAGUAGCAAUAAUAAAAGUGAAAAAUUGAGGUAUAAAAUAAUUUGUACAUUGAUCGACUCUUUUUGCUUACUGAAUCUCUCUGCCUUUCUUCUAAAAUAGGAGCCUAUAAGAAAGGAGAGCAUGUACAUACAUGUCAUAGGCAUUUGUAUUUGAGUUACCCUUUUUUCCUAAUACAUUAUUAUUCCUAUUACCAUUUAUGAACUUCUGUAGUGCUGAAGAGGUAUACGGAGAAAAUAUUUAAUGUUAUAUCUGUAAAAAAUAGCAGAAUUCUAUAUGAAAUUAUAGUUAGAGAUCAGUAUCUUUGGCAAUUAAAAUGUGAUUUUUUAGGGCCUAAAAUGUCAAUAAUAGGGCUGGGGUUGUAGUUCAGUGGUAGAACACUUGCCUAGCAUAUGUGAGGCACUGGGUUCAAGCCUCAGCACCACAUAAAAAUAAAUAAAUAAAAUAAAAUCAUUGUGUCCAUCUAUAAAGAAAAAUGUUUACAAAAAAAGUCAAUAAGACUUUUUCUAAUAGAAUUUUGAGCAUACAAACCACCUCUUGUAUGUAGCACUAGAAAGGGAAUUUUAGUGAAGUGAAAUGAAUUUAAUUUCAGAUAUUGAAAAUCCCUUAUUACAUGUGAGAUUAUUUCAUAUCAUUAAAACUUUGUUCUGUAAGAAAAAAAAGAUCUAGAUCCCAACAUCCUUCUCUUUAAGAGGCAAAGGGGUCACACUGACCCCAGGGGGAAGAAAAUGUGUCUUUAAUAUACUACUUGUAUUCCCUAUGAAUGAUAUUUGCACAGACCACACAAUAUAUACAGAGAAAACUUAAUAUGUUUAUGGAACAGAAUUAAAAUAUUAUCAUUUAUAACUUGUCAUAUGUGAAAUGGCAUGCAUCAAUACAUAAGUGGAUGGAAAAGUUGGGAAAUCCUGGAAGGAGUAGUAAAGCUCAUUUUACACAGUGAGUAAUUAAAGGAUAGUAUCAAAAGUUGACAGGAAAAGAACUAGAGAUAUAAAUGUAUUGCUUAAAACUAUUAGUUGACUAAUAGAAAAAUUAAAAUAAUAUAAAUAUCCAAAAAAUAAUAUAAAUAUCCAAAAAAAUAGGAAGUGAGGACAAGACUGGAUGUAGUAUAAAUGGACUAAAUACUUGUCUUUCUUGGGGCAGUCAAGAAACAAUAAUCUGAAGCUGAUACAUCAUGAAAUAGCCACAUGGCAGACAGAAUAAUGGCUCUCAAACAUGAUUAAAUCCUAAUAUCCAGAAUUCACAAGUACAUUAGCUUACAUUGCAAAAGAUGCUUUGAUGAUGUGUUUUAAGGACGCUGAGAAGUGGAAAUUGUCUUGGAUUAUCUCGGCGAUUCCAUUCUAAUUAUUUGAGUGGUUAAAAGUACUGAACCUUUUCUGACUGUAUCAGAGGGGAAUGUGACAACAGAGGAAGGGUCAGAAAGAUUUGCUGUGUUGCAGGCUUUGAAGACAGAAGGAGGCCACCAGCCAAGGAAUGCAGUUGGCCUCUAGAAACUGAAAAAGGCAAUGAAAGGGACUCUUCCCCAGAGUUUUCAGAAAGGAAAACAGUUCCUGCCAACACCUUGGUAUAAGGAAUAAUAAUAAAGAGAGACACAGAGACAAGGUGCAGAGGCAGGGAAGGUGACAGAGUGGCUCUUUGUCCAAGUGGCCACGUUUUUUUAUACCAAAUAGGUUAUAUUAAGCUAUUAGCAUCGUAACCACAUUAUUGUUUAGAGUAUCAGUAAGGUUGCUUAUUCUGGAGUUAAGAGUUCACAGUUACAAAUGCAAUAUUAGGAUCUUUGUGCAGUUCUCAAGAAAGUCCAUUGUCUGAAGUUACUGUUAGGUGGGCAGCUCCAGGAGCUUGGUGAAACAUUGUAGUUAUCAAGGAAACAAGUUCCUUUAUUCACAGGAGUUAUGUGCCUAAGAUUAAGGUCUAGCAUGGGGGGCAUUACCAUAGCCACCUGGCAUCCUAUGCCUUUGCACAGAAACUUACCCAGGCACCAAGCAUGCCACAGCCAUGAAGUCAUCAGGGACUCCAAUCCCAAACAUAAAACCCCUAUACCUUGGAUCUUACUUAAGUGAUAUUGUGUUGAAUUUCUACCCUACAGGGAUGUAAUGUAAUAAUUUUUCUGUUCUUUAAGCCACUAUGUUUGGGGCAGCAUGUUAUAGCAGCGAUAGAAACCCAACAGAAACUCUAUCAACAUUACAUUUAGAAUAAGGCUAUCUAGAUAAAAGCUCGAACCAGCAUUGGCUAAAAUCAGUUGCAGAACUGUUGAUGGGAAGGCGCUGAGGUGAACAACUUCUUUUAAUAAGCAUUUUUGAACUCUCUUUAAGGUACAUUUAUGUAUCAUUUUGAUAAAAGUAUGAAGAAAAACUAACACAAUACUAAAUAUACAAUGUAAUAAGUGUUUCUCUAUGGAUAACUAUUAGUUCCAUUCUCAUAAUUAUAGAAAAUAGAAGUUGAUACUUUUAUUGUUGUUUGCCAUGCUAUAGAUAGAAAUAAUUAAGAGAUAUAACUUUUCCUCAUUUUAGAAUGCUAUAAUAAGGUAUUCAAAUGGCUGCUAUGAUUUUUGUGCCCACCUAUAUUAAAAGUUUCUUGAAAAUAUGUAAAUUUGCUUUGUUAUGGUUAAGAUAUACAAAUAUUAGAACUAAUUAGAUGCUUAAAUACUUGAGGCAUUGGUAUUAAAAUGUGUUCAUUUUAUCUUAUAUGUUUUGAAUCAAUCAUUCUUUAGAAAGAAGAAUGAUAUUUUGUUGUAGUAACAGUUGUAUGGAUUAUUUUGUACUUUUUAAAUUUUGAAAAACUAAAAUUAAUUUUAAAAUCUGGUUGAUAGUUUUAGUUUGAUGGUGCAUUGCAUUGAAAAGAUAAGUCUACAUGAAAGUCAUGCCCAUAACUCCCAGACUUACUAAAAUGUUACAAAGACAGUACAGAAUUUGUAUAUACCCUUCACUCUUUUUCCCUAAAGCAUUUCCCAUACUAAGAAAUUAAUGUUAAUAUGAUGUUAUUAACUAAAGAAUAGUCUGUCUGGAAUUGACUACUAAUGUACUUUUACUUUUCAAGAGUUUAAACCAGGAUACCACAUUCCAUUUAGUGUCCUCUGAUAUGCAACAGGCUCUCAAUCUUGAUACAUUUUUAUAACCUUGAGAAUUUUUAAAUUUACCUAACAAUUUUUUCAGAAGGUCCUUCAUGUGUGUCUGAUGUUUUCACUGGACUAUACUGAGUUCAUAUUUUCCAUUGGUUUGGGGGAAUGUCACAAAGGUGAAAUGUACUUUUUAUAAUUCAUAUGAAAGAAGUUCAUGAUACCAAAAAGACUCAUCACUAGUGAUAUCUUCUGGAUUUCUCCACUGUAAAGUUAGUAUUUUCCCCUUUUCAUACUCUGUACUAUGGAAAUUAUGGAAGUGAGUGAUC